GCCCUUGUAGUACAUCUAAUACCCCGGUCUUGUAAACCGGAAAUGGAGAACCCCCCCUCUCCCCAGGGCA
This 70-nucleotide transfer RNA is filed under the name Propithecus deckenii coronatus. RNAcentral describes it as "tRNA-Thr". Lineage: Eukaryota; Metazoa; Chordata; Mammalia; Primates; Indriidae. The record is from RNAcentral.